Molecule: long non-coding RNA, 2487 nt
Organism: Oncorhynchus mykiss (rainbow trout)
Lineage: Eukaryota; Metazoa; Chordata; Actinopteri; Salmoniformes; Salmonidae
Source: Ensembl
AAAACAAGUUAGAAAAGACACAUUUAUAAUAAUGUCACUGUAGAUUUCUGUUUUUUGACAAUGGUUCUUCUAAUUGAGAAGAGGGCAGGCUGCCAGGUGUCUGUCACUGCUCCAAUGUCAUUGAUCAGUUCACCUUUCACCCUCUGUAGUCCCGUUUCACUGGUCAAUCAAACAGCCGUCCACCACAGAGUACUUCCAGCACAAAGAUUUUUGUUUUGCACAAUAUAGAGAGCUUUGUAUUGUUGAAGAGUCAUUACUAGCUUUUGCCUCUUAUAUACAGUAAUAUAUAAUAGUUAUCUUAUAUAAUACCUUUUUUAAACUAGGCAAGUCAGUUAAGAACAAAUCAUUUUUUACAAUGACUGCCUAACGAAAGGAAAAGGGGCUCCUGCGGGGACGGGGGCUGGGAUUAAAAAUACAAAUAAAUUAAAUAAAAAAAUAGGACAAAACACAUCACGACAAGAGAGACAACACAACACGACAUAGAGACCUAAGACACUUGUCACGUCGAGGUCGGCUCCUCUCCUUGUUCGGGCGGCGUUCGGCGGUCGAUGUCACCGGCUUUCUAGCCAUCGCUGCUCCAUUUUUUAUUUAUCCAUGUGUUUGUCUUGGUUUUCAUUCCCCAAUCACACUACAUGUAUUUAUUCCUCUGUUCCCCCUCAGGUCUUUGUGUGUGAUUGUUUCAUGCUACGUGUCAUUUUUGACGCGCUAUUUUCCAGUGUGUGUGUUUUUCCCCAAUAUAUUAUUCACAAGGUAUGUUUAUUUGUUUGUACUUUAUUAUUGUGACUGUUUACGCGUUUUUGCACUUUGGCAUAUUGGAUGGAGGUUUCGACGCAGUGGCGUCUGUCUGUUGGUUUCUCCUGCCUAAACACAUUUUUUGCCUAUUCACAACUCUCUGCUCUCCUGCAUCUGACUCCGCUCCCAGUAUGCACAUUGACAACAACAAUAUAGCAUGGCAGCAACACAUGACAACAACAUGGUAGCAACACAAUAUGGCAGCAGCACAACAUGGUAGCAGUACACAACAUGGUACAAACAUUAUUGGGCACAGACAACAGCGAAGCAGCCACAGCUGUCAGUAAGAGUGAGAUAGGUGAGAUCAGUAAUCAGUAAAACAGUGAGAUCAGUAAUAGGUCCUGGACAUUGGUGAAUCAGUGUGCAUUGCCUUCUAAUCUCUGUUUUGACAUAACACAGAUUUACUGUAUUCAAACAGCAAUGUUUAUCUAUGGAUGCAUUUGGAAUUAUAUUUUAUGAAAUCAUUUAUUGAAAUCACCAGAUCGGAAAUAGACGGCCACUUGUUGGAUUGUUUCUCAUCCUAUUGGAGAGAACAGCAUCAGGUGACAUAGCAUGCCACGUCCCUAUUGUAUCUUUAUCAUUUAGAUAAAACACUCCUUUCCCCCGGCGUCUACCUCGUUAAUAUUAACAAUCUGAGGGCACAAUGAGUUUAUUCUCUGCAAUUUCCCCUAAAUUGUAGCUGAUGUAGCAGGUGGUUUGCUGUCGUUAUUCCAGUCCUCUCUACUCCAAUUCCUCUUCUAACAGCAGUCCUGCUGAGUGAAUGCCAGGAACUAUCAGACGCUCAGGAAAUAACAAAGCUUUAAUGACGUGUUGCAUCAAUAGGCCAAUGUGGAGCUAUUAGCCAACGCUGACUAUCGAUGCAUCAAAAUGCUAACAGGGGUUUUAGUAAAGUAAAGGACCUCACUCCAGAGAACACUGCUACUUGGUAGCUUUCAUUACCAAGGAGACUAAUGGAACCACCCCUCUUUAGCCUGUUUUUAUCCAUGUUGUCGAUCAAAAGGAAGUUGAGCUAUCAGGUACACUUACUGAGAGAUCAAAACAUCGCUGCUCAGUGUACAUAUUAUCCUCAUCAGAAAGAGAUGAGAAAGAGUAAGGAAGCUUCAAUACUAUCUGGUCAGACUGAUCAAGGGCGAUUGUAGUUUGUCGUGAUUUACACAUUGACAUAACCUAUAUUUUUUAUGUUUGUUUAUGCUAUUCACAUUACACAGAGGCAUACAAAAUAUAAAGACCCAUACAAAACUAUAUUUUACUUUAGACUUCAGACGCUAGUGCAUUUUAGGCACUAGUGGGAAAUUAAAUUACUGCAGCUUUUCUUCCUUCCAAGCGAUGAAAUAUAUGGUUCAGAUUAUCAAAUGUAUGGUUCAAAUGAUCAAAUGUCUUUUGUAGCUUUGUCAACUAUGUGUGUUUUCAAUACCUGUUUACUCCUCUUCCUGUAGGCUUUACACAUGCUUCCCACCCUUUGGCUGCAACCCUUCUAAUUUAGUGUACCCUGCGAGCACAACCCAUGUGGAAUUCCUGGUCUCUUGCAAUGUUUGGUUGGAACUGCUGAUCUGCAGUCAAGAACGCAGAGUUCAUCUCACUCUAUGCUGCCCUUCAGUCCCUAGACUUUUUGCUCCCAGACAGAGACAUGGAUCACCCAGCUGCUCUUUUCAUUUUUUUUUAUUAUUAUUAUUUUUUUUUACUAGGCAAGAUCAG